This 266-nucleotide ribosomal RNA is filed under the name uncultured bacterium. RNAcentral describes it as "partial 16S ribosomal RNA". It matches the Rfam family "Bacterial small subunit ribosomal RNA", at positions 123 to 406 of the family's 1533-position model. The record is from RNAcentral.
AAUCUGCCUCUAGGUCGGGGACAACAAUUGGAAACGAUUGCUAAUACCCGAUGUGCAGCAAUGUGAAAGAUUUAUUGCCUAGAGAUGAGCUCGCGUCUGAUUAGCUAGUAGGUGUGGUAAUGGCGCACCUAGGCGACGAUCAGUAACUGGUCUGAGAGGAUGACCAGUCACACUGGGACUGAGACACGGCCCAGACUCCUACGGGAGGCAGCAGUGGGGAAUUUUCCGCAAUGGGCGAAAGCCUGACGGAGCAAUACCGCGUGAGG